Molecule: ribosomal RNA, 483 nt
Filed under: uncultured bacterium
Lineage: Bacteria
Description: partial 16S ribosomal RNA
Rfam family: Bacterial small subunit ribosomal RNA
Source: RNAcentral
GACGAACGCUAGCGGCGGGCUUAACACAUGCAAGUCGAACGGCAAGGCUCUGAGUAAUUUUGGUCCUAGAGUGGCGCAAGGGUGAGUAACACGUAAGUAACCUGCCCUCGACAGUAGGAUAACUCCCCGAAAAGGGGACUAAUACCCCAUAACAGCACGUGCAGGCUGCUGGGUAUUGUUAAAUCGCAACGGGUCGGGAAUGGGUCUGCGGUUGUUUAGCUAGUUGGGGGGGUGAAGGCUCACCAAGGUGGUGAUGAAUAGGGGUUCUGUGGGGAAAGUCCCCCACACUGGCACUGAGAUACGGGCCAGACUCCUACGGGAGGCAGCAGUAGGGAAGAUUGGACAAUGGUUGCAAGACUGAUCCAGCCAUGCCGCGUGCAGGAAGAAGGCCUUCUGGGUCGUAAACUGCUUUUUCCUGUGGAUAAAAUACCCGUGCGCGGGGAAUUGAAGGUAACAGGGAAAUAAGCCACGGCUAACUACGUG